RNAcentral lists this ribosomal RNA (850 nucleotides) under Acinetobacter sp. RNAcentral's name for it is "bacterial SSU rRNA". It matches the Rfam family "Bacterial small subunit ribosomal RNA", at positions 40 to 873 of the family's 1533-position model. Lineage: Bacteria; Pseudomonadati; Pseudomonadota; Gammaproteobacteria; Moraxellales; Moraxellaceae. The record is from RNAcentral.
CGGCAGGCUUAACACAUGCAAGUCGAGCGGAGUGAUGGUGCUUGCACUAUCACUUAGCGGCGGACGGGUGAGUAAUGCUUAGGAAUUGCCAUUUAGUGGGGGACAACAUUCCGAAAGGAAUGCUAAUACCGCAUACGUCUACGGGAGAAAGCAGGGGAUCUUCGGACCUUGCGCUAAAUGAUGAGCCUAAGUCGGAUUAGCUAGUUGGUGGGGUAAAGGCCUACCAAGGCGACGAUCUGUAGCGGGUCUGAGAGGAUGAUCCGCCACACUGGGACUGAGACACGGCCCAGACUCCUACGGGAGGCAGCAGUGGGGAAUAUUGGACAAUGGGCGGAAGCCUGAUCCAGCCAUGCCGCGUGUGUGAAGAAGGCCUUUUGGUUGUAAAGCACUUUAAGCGAGGAGGAGGCUACCUGGAUUAAUACUUUAGGAUAGUGGACGUUACUCGCAGAAUAAGCACCGGCUAACUCUGUGCCAGCAGCCGCGGUAAUACAGAGGGUGCGAGCGUUAAUCGGAUUUACUGGGCGUAAAGCGUGCGUAGGCGGCUUUUUAAGUCGGAUGUGAAAUCCCCGAGCUUAACUUGGGAAUUGCAUUCGAUACUGGGAAGCUAGAGUAUGGGAGAGGAUGGUAGAAUUCCAGGUGUAGCGGUGAAAUGCGUAGAGAUCUGGAGGAAUACCGAUGGCGAAGGCAGCCAUUUGGCCUAAUACUGACGCUGAGGUACGAAAGCAUGGGGAGCAAACAGGAUUAGAUACCCUGGUAGUCCAUGCCGUAAACGAUGUAUACUAGCCGUUGGGGCCUUUGAGGCUUUAGUGGCGCAGCUAACGCCGAUAAGUAGACUCCGACCCUUUUGGAU